UAGGGGAAUCUUCGGCAAUGGGGGCAACCCCUGACCGAGCAACGCCGCGUGAGUGAAGAAGGUUUUCGGAUCGUAAAGCUCUGUUGUAAGAGAAGAACGUGUGUGAGAGUGGAAAGUUCACACAGUGACGGUAACUUACCAGAAAGGGACGGCUAACUACGUGCCGG
This 167-nucleotide ribosomal RNA is filed under the name uncultured bacterium. RNAcentral describes it as "partial 16S rRNA". It matches the Rfam family "Bacterial small subunit ribosomal RNA", at positions 354 to 511 of the family's 1533-position model. The record is from RNAcentral.